Leopardus geoffroyi (Geoffroy's cat) is the source of this 1857-nucleotide long non-coding RNA. RefSeq lists it as uncharacterized. The record is from RefSeq and is a predicted model, not a curated record. Lineage: Eukaryota; Metazoa; Chordata; Mammalia; Carnivora; Felidae. The transcript has 3 exons.
CUCUCCAUCGAUGUGAUCUGCAACGGAAAGGACCUGGGGUAGGAGCGGCUGAUCUGGGGGAGCGCGAAAGGCGAAGGGCACCUGCCCACCCUCACUGCCAAGGAGCGCGUGCCCCCCAGCUUCUCCUCACCAAACCGCAACCCAUGCGACCACUCUAAGUCUUGGGAUCACAUCGCCAAGUUUACAUCCCUAGCCCGGACUUCCCCCGUGAGUCGCCAGUUCCGCCUCUCCACGUGGCCGGACGGUGGCCGUCUCCAGCUCAGCAGGUGCAAGAGGGAGCCUUCGCUGCUUCCCCCAAUCCCGCUCCACACGCAGUCCUCGCCUACCCAAACGGUAGCAACUUGAACCUCGCGCAGACCUUCGAGGUGUCCCCGAAGGCUCUUUCCCUCUCACUGCACACCCACUGGGCUCCUCCUUCGCAGUCUCCAAGAUGGACACCGUCCCCACCUGCACUGCCGGCCCCUGGGUCCACCCCCUGGAGUGACCGUGGAUGCCUUGUCACAGGUGGCCCUGCACCUGGCUUGGCCCCAUGCAAUCUCUUCUUGGCUCGUCUUCAACAGUUACCGAUACCAGUCUCUUCAAAUGACGAUCGGCUGUGCUUCUAAAUCCUUUAACGCACCCAAGACAAACACGCGAGUAACUUUGCCUCCAGCUACCAAACCAGUUGUGGCCCGGGGUGACCGACCUACCUACCCAAGCUUUGCAAUAUGGUGUCACCGAGGCACGCUCAGUGUAUUCAUAGUAAGGUGCUGAAUUUCCUCAUCACUCUCUAUACCUACAAAGAGUCAGACCCUCUUGAGUGCAAACGGAAAUGUGAGACAAUGAGAAUACAAGUCAUUUUAUGUUUCGUUUGCGGUUUGCUAAGUGAAAAUUAGUGUUAAUUUGAAAUGCUGACUUUUUACCCUGACCCAUAUCCAAGAUUCUAAAAGAGUGGGUUCCAGAGUUACAAGAUGGGAUUUCUUUGUGAGACGAGGGAAUAGAAAAGAGCUUUUUCUACUUUUCUACAUUUCUACAUUCUGCCCUGGGGUUACUACCCUGGAAAAGAGUCCCUUGUCCCCUGAAGGUGGGCCUCCCAUGCUCUGUGACCCAGCAACUCCAUUCCCAGGUCCACACCCGAGACAAACGGCCGCCUGUGUGCAAUGGGAGGCGGGCAUGAGACGCGUACACGGCACAUUCACAAAAGCCCAACCUGGCAACACACGGCACGCCCACCAAAAACAACGCAAACAACGCUUACCAAUAUAAUGUUAAAACGAACCCGUAAACCCUGAAGCUUUCCACAAAGCAGGAAAAACCAGGUGGCCGUUUUGUGGGCACGUACUUCCUUAUUGUAAGGCAUUAAGUGCCUGAAUCAAAACGGGCCAAGCGGGCACCAAUGAAGAGAGUACUUCACGAGAUCCAUCUAACACUGGGCUCCGAGAUUCAGUAAAGAAGAAAAGCGAACCGACAGCUAAGGUCCCGGCAGUUCAGGACCUAGAUCGUUUUGAAUAGGAGUCAACGGUGUGACACGACUCCUAAGAAAAAAUACACAAUUCCCCAGGACCACACUAAUGGUUCUGUAACAUCCGGGAUACGGGACUCAGGAUUUAUUCCGAACUGGCUGGCUGCACCUGGAGAAUUCCGAGCACCGAGCUCAACUGGUUGCUACCCUAGACAGGAUCUCCUUCAGACAACUGGGUCUGAAAUACUUGAUUUGGAUGACACCAGGGAGCGCAGACUCCCCAUUAAACAUGUUACGCGUGCUCUAAGCACUUGGCAUUUUUCUGAUUUCAGCAGACGAAAGCUCCUGUUGCUAUAUUUCUUUGUCAAAUUGUUUUUCCUUUCUGUCUCCUUGGAAUAAAAUUCCACUUCAGAAAA